Corticium candelabrum is the source of this 838-nucleotide long non-coding RNA. RefSeq lists it as uncharacterized. The transcript has 5 exons. NCBI's taxonomy places the organism in Eukaryota, Metazoa, Porifera, Homoscleromorpha, Homosclerophorida, Plakinidae. The record is from RefSeq and is a predicted model, not a curated record.
UUGGUUGAAGUCUGUAUGUGACGACUCAAUGUUCGGUGCUGACGUGCUUGUGUUCGGACGCUGUGAGGUCAUCACCUGAGGUAGCAUCGGUUGUGGGGCCUCCACCACCGGCCAAAUCUACCAAUGGUUUUGAGUCGUGUUAUCCAUUGGUUUUCCAGAGUCAGGCGUCGUUGGUGAUUUUCUUCGAUUUGGAUCGGUGUUAUUUUCCAAAGUCCCUUUGAGUUGUGGUUUCGUUCGUUACAAUGUAAGUAGAUCUUUUUUGUGUCUUGUGAUCGCAGUUUGUUGCGGUGGUGUCUCAUACGGACUCUGAGUGUGCCUCCUGUUUGUCCAACGUAUUGCUUGUGACAUCUGGGUACAUCACACUGGGUAUGACUUGCCCGUGGUGGUGCUGCGGAUGGCAGAACAAAUCGUGAUCUGAUGGCAUAUUCCGCAUUGUGUGUGGUUGCAAGUUGUCGUGACUGGCGUAAUGGCGAGUCUGGGUACUGGGACGUCGCUGUUUUUUACGUCUUUUAUUGGCAAUCAUUGGUGGGUGACAUCCAAGUAUUGAUUCGAGUUGGGGGUCGCUGUCGAUCAUGAUUUGCCAUUGUCUGUGGAUCAGUUGUUUGAUGUUUGGGAACCAGGAGAUAUGAAGUCAUUUGAGUCCCGGAUGUAACUGUUCUGUGUGAGUGCAAUUGGUUUGAGAAGAUAGUCUACGAAUUGAGAAAUGGCUUCAGUCGGUCCUGAGCAACCAGACACGAUUGGUCGAUAUGCAACUGGAGUUUUGUGUAUUUUACUGAGAAAAUAGAGUUGUUGUGUUCGUACUUUAGAUGGUUUAAGUUGGAAAAGGAAUUGUAGUGUC